Molecule: ribosomal RNA, 253 nt
Filed under: uncultured bacterium
Lineage: Bacteria
Description: partial 16S ribosomal RNA
Rfam family: Bacterial small subunit ribosomal RNA
Source: RNAcentral
CACGUAGGGGGCUAGCGUUGUCCGGAAUCAUUGGGCGUAAAGCGCGUGUAGGCGGUCCGGUAAGUCCGCUGUGAAAGUCGGGGGCUCAACCCUCGGAUGCCGGUGGAUACUGUCGGGCUUGAGUACGGAAGAGGCGAGUGGAAUUCCUGGUGUAGCGGUGAAAUGCGCAGAUAUCAGGAGGAACACCAAUUGCGAAGGCAGCUCGCUGGGACGUUACUGACGCUGAGACGCGAAAGCGUGGGGAGCAAACAGG